GUGGGGAAUUUUGGACAAUGGGCGAAAGCCUGAUCCAGCCAUGCCGCGUGUGUGAAGAAGGUCUUCGGAUUGUAAAGCACUUUAAGUUGGGAGGAAGGGCAGUAAGUUAAUACCUUGCUGUUUUGACGUUACCGACAGAAUAAGCACCGGCUAACUUCGUGCCAGCAGCCGCGGUAAUACGAAGGGUGCAAGCGUUAAUCGGAAUUACUGGGCGUAAAGUGCGCGUAGGUGGUUUUGUAAGUUGGAGGUGAAAUCCCCGGGCUCAACCUGGGAACUGCUUUCAAAACUGCUGAGCUAGAGUACGGUAGAGGGUGGUGGAAUUUCCUGUGUAGCGGUGAAAUGCGUAGAUAUAGGAAGGAACACCAGUGGCGAAGGCGACCACCUGGACUGAUACUGACACUGAGGUGCGAAAGCGUGGGGAGCAAACAGGAUUAGAUACCCCAGUAGUCC
RNAcentral lists this ribosomal RNA (450 nucleotides) under uncultured bacterium. RNAcentral's name for it is "partial 16S ribosomal RNA". It matches the Rfam family "Bacterial small subunit ribosomal RNA", at positions 354 to 796 of the family's 1533-position model. The record is from RNAcentral.